Non-coding RNA from Podarcis lilfordi (Lilford's wall lizard), 3222 nucleotides. NCBI's taxonomy places the organism in Eukaryota, Metazoa, Chordata, Lepidosauria, Squamata, Lacertidae. The record is from the annotation of a GenBank genome assembly.
GCCUAUACUUAGUCUGGGGGUGCCUCCAAAAAUGUGAGGUAGAUUGUGUCCCCCUAUCUUAUAUGACCCUCAAAGGUAACCCAUACAGCUUAAACAUGUGCUCUACAAAGAACUGCGCUGUCUGCUGUAAAAACACGCUGGGAAGGCUGUCAACUUCCCACAUCUUCGGAGCAUCUCUCCGGUGGUCCUCUCUGGCUAUAAAUCUCCCUCAGUCCAGAGAGACCGGUAAUAAGCGACCCUUCUCUCCUGAAAAGAGCAUGCCAGUCUUCUGAUAUCUCAUAGCAGAAGAAAGACUCAAUCGUAGUUCUAAACUACUUUAUUUACAGUCUCAUAUACAGAAACUCCAUCAGUACAUCUGUGCUCUCUGAACACCAGUACAGAACUACGACACAAUACAGAAGUGAAACCAACUUCCAACAGUACUCAGAAGGAAGAGAUAAUACAGACUUCCUUUCUCACGCUCUCUCAGACACUUACAUAAUGUACACAAAUCAUAGUACCAUUCACUAGCGCAGCUCGGAUAGAUUAAAAAUCCUAACAUACCCUCCCUUUUUAGAUAACCGUAGCUGCGUAAGUUAGUGCAGCAUCAAGUGACAUAAACAAACAGUUGUCAUACACAUAGUAUACCCCUGUUGUACCAGUUCCACCUUUGGAACUACCUGCAACUGGAUCGACCAGUUCAAACCUCUGGUUACCUUUCUGCCAUGGGAGUAGAGCUUUUGCUCUAUCUUGGUCUGAGGAAACAGUGUUGACUCUUGCAACCUUCAGGUGUAGUUUUGUCUCUCCUUGUACCUCACUCAAGACCUCAGUGUCUGAAACCUGGUUUGAGCUGCUAGCCACAGCUAUACAUGCAACAGCUGUGUUAGCAAACUCCCGAGAGCACCUCUUGGGUGGCAGUCCCUUUGUGACUCUCUCAGAUCUACGUAUCAGGUGCAGAUCCUCUUUGCUGGCUGGUUCUUCCUUGGGAGAACGUUUGGGAGAACCACAACCAACAGUAAACAGUGGCUCUGGCAAUUCCAGUUCAGCCUCAGACAAUGGCCUGGAGAUUGCUUGUGUAUCUCUCUCAAGAACUGUGUCGUCUGUACUACAACUCUCAGUGGUGCUUUCAGUGUCACUCUCAGUGUCAGAAUCUACAUCUGUGUUAGCAUUGAUGGGGAAACUGUGGAGAACCUCUCUCUCCUGUUGUGCAGUGUAUUCUACUUCCCUAGUAAGAAUUACUGUGUCAGAAUCAGGCAAUAAAACUCUGUAUUGACCUUUCUCAUAACCCAUGAAAAUGCCCUGUGCACCUUUUGCACCUUGUGGUGUUUCUAUCCACAUGUGAGACCCGAAAACCUUUAAGUGCUUGACAGAAGGUUUUCUCUGGAACAGUCUCUCAAAAGGAGAACUUUCCAUACCUGUGGAAACCUUUCUUACCCACGUGUAAGAAAAAGCAUUCAGCAACUCAGCUCAAAACUUUUGGGGCAAACCUGCACUUAGCAGUUGUGCUUUAAUGCCUUGUUGCAACUCUGUGUUCACCUUGACGCAUACACUCUUGUUCCAUGAAGCUUCUGAGACAGCAACCUUGUGCUCAAUCUCCUGUUCACCUAGGGACUUUUGAAAUUCCUGUGAAACAAAAACCUGCUUUUCAUCAGUGAAAAGACAUUCAACAUUAGCAUCUUGAACAAAUUUUACCUUAUCACAAAAUUCUCUGAACUUUCUUAAAGUUUGCUGCGGUCUCUGCAACAUAUGCACCCAAACAUACUGAGAAAAACAGUCAACCAUUAUCAGGUAAUACUUGGCUUUGCCUCUAGAAGGCAGUAGAGGUCCAACCACUUCAGCAUACACUCGCUGGAAAACUCUGGUGACUUUUUUAGGUUUCUUGCCUGUCGCACCUGUAACACAAGACACAUCAACAACAUUAUAAUCCUUACAAUCAGUAUUAUCAAAGGACAGCAAAUAAAGUCCAUCUUCUUUGUGGGCGUACAGAAGUGGUGUUCCAUCUCUGGAGAUCACACAUCUCUUCUUGUUGCUUGAAACCUCAAACUCCUGCUCAGUCAGUUGUGAUACACUCAACAGGUUAUAAGCUAAACCUGGAACAAAAUAGACAUUGCUAAUCGUGGUUUGGAGGCUCUCAAGAAACACUGUUCCAAACCCAGUGGCUUCCAAAUCAUGAUAUGGUGUAACGCUGUUCCUCAAACAUGGUAAACAACCCCUUGCGUCCAGUCAGAUGAACUGUGGCUCCCGUGUCGACAACAAAUGCAUUCCAAGUUGACAAUGACGUCUUCGGUGUAAUCAUAGCAAGUGCUUGCUUGGACUGGGGCUUAGCACGCUCCCUCUGCACCAUUCUGCUACCGGCCCCUCCUUUCUCUGAGCUAUUCUUAUGGACUAUCUGGAUUACAAAAUUGUAUUUAUGGGGGAUUUGAAUGGGGUAGUCUCAACAAUGAUGGAUAGAACCCAAAGGCAAAAACUUACUAAUGAUGGGAGGCUACCAAAGAUGUUUUUUGAGAUGGUGGACAAUUUUGACCUGGUGGAUAUUUGGAGAUUGAGGAAUCCAAUGGAGAAAGAUUUUACAUUUUUUUCAGAUGCAAAUCUAUUGUCUAGUCGCCUGCAUUAUAUAUAGCUAACGAAAGACUUGACCCCAAGAGUGACUAAAUAUGAGAUCUGUCCAAGGACUUGUUCCGAUCAUAAUGCUGUGUUAACAGAAUUAAAAUUGUCUCUACAGGGUUCUUUCAGAUGGCGGAUGAAUGAUGCUUUACUCAGAAAUUAUUUGAUUGUUAAUAAAGCUCAGAAGACCCUAAAGGAUUAUUUUGAAUUGAACCUGAAUCCUGGAACUGAAGCAAGGGUCGUAUGGGAUGCAAGUAAAGCAGUAAUGCGAGGUUUCCUGAUCCAACAGAACUCUAUUAGGAAGAAAGCACAGAAUGAACAAAAGGAAAAAAAUCCUGUCUCAACUGAAGGAAAAAGAGAAAAAACUGAGAUGAGAUGUAAUCCCAAAAAUCAACAGAUUCAAAAGGAGAUUAAGGUGUUACAAUCCACAAAUAGUAAAUCGAGAAAUUGAAUGGAAAAUUAAAUUGAUGAAACAAAAGACUUUUGAAUCGGCAAAUAAAUGUGGGAAAUUAUUGGCUUGGCAAUUGAAAAAAGAGACAAAAGGAGAGUACAAUAAUUAACAUUAUGGAGGAUGGAAAGAAUAUUGAGAACCCAGCAGAGAUUAGAAAAUGCUUUCAAAAAUACUGUAAGCAGCUUUAC